This 1614-nucleotide ribosomal RNA is filed under the name Triticum aestivum (bread wheat). RNAcentral's name for it is "partial small subunit ribosomal RNA". The record is from RNAcentral. Lineage: Eukaryota; Viridiplantae; Streptophyta; Magnoliopsida; Poales; Poaceae.
AUGAUAAGGCUUCUCCAAACGGACGACGAAGGCUGGUACAUCAACGAAUUCAGGUCCAAACACAACCACCCCAUGCUGAACACUUGUGCUGAGAAGUUGCAUUUCCCAUCGCAUAGGCAUAUUGACAAAUACACACGUGAGCUUGUUUCUCAACUAAGACAGAACAAUGUAAAUCUGAGCAAGGUUUAUAGUAUAAUCGCAACAUUUUUUGGUAGAGUUGAGAAUGUGCCAUUCACCAAGAGAUGUUUAAGGACUCUGUGUGGGAAGCUUAGCGGGGAGCAAGCUGAUGACGAUGUGCGAAAGACAAUGGCUAUUUUUUCAGAAAUGAAAGCACAAGACAGUGAGUUCACAUACAACGUUCAGGUAGAUGAUGAGAGUAGGAUACGGACCCUUAUGUGGACGAACGGGCGUAGCAAAACACAGUACCAUCACUUCGGUGACGUUAUCACCUUCGACACGACAUACAACAAGCUCCAGUUCGACCGAGAACAGGAGGAAGGAUUCCAGGAGAAACGUACUAGACUGAGUCAUGCUGUGCUGAAGGUGAACACCUCUCUUGAAGUACACGCAAGCAAGAUAUAUACCAGGAAGAUGUUUGAGAUUUUUGGUGGCAUAAUGUAUGAAUCUAGAAUGUAUGAUGUCGAAGAAAUCAUAGAGAAGCAGAAAUACAUAGUGACACACCGGAAAGCCGAGCUCCGUGAGAAGUGGUUCAAGUGCCGGUUUGAGGUCAACGUGUCUGAUAACCUUGGUUAUGUCUUGUGCAUUUGCGGUCUGUUUGAGCACAUGGGCAUGGUUUGCUGUCACUCGCUACAGGUGAUGGUUCUACUACGCCUGAAGCAGAUGCCUUCGAGGCAUAUACUGAAAAGGUGGAGCAUACACGGCAGAGACAACCUGCCAGCGCAUCUGAAGCACUAUCAACAAGACAUGGGUCCGCCGGAUGCGCCCACUUUCAGGCAUUCUGCUUUGUACAUCACUGCCCUGGAGGUUGCAAAUAUGGGGGACAGGAACCCGGCAGCUUUUGAGUUUAUGAUGACAGGCCUGGUUGAACUUAGAACAAGAGGCGCCGAGGUGUGCACGUUCAACGACGGCCUUGGCGUCGUUGAGCAACAGGUAUCCAACAAUGUAGUUCUUGGCGGUCCAAACUCAAAGUUUGUCAACGGCAAGACAUCUUUCUCCGUAAGAAGUGUGGAAGGCAAUCGAACUAAAUCACGCGAUGCCGCUUCGGUGUCUGUGCAUCCUCCAAUUAGCCAGGCCUCAGAAGCAUCAUGCCCAAAUGGUCAUGGGUACAAUUCACAUUUCUCUGAAGUCGCCUCCAGCCUGAUGCCCAAUGUUGAACAAGAACUGCUUGCCUCGGAAAGAAAAAACAAACGAGGCCGGUCAACCACUAGCCGUGAUAAAGCUCCUUAUGAGAAAGACAGCGCCAAGAGAUCUAGGUUCUGUUCCAUCUGCAGGGGCAAAGGUCACAAAGCCAGCACUUGCCCUGAUCGAGGUGAUAUCCCCAAAAAGGAAAGGAAGGUGGCCACAUGCGGCAAAUGCGGGGUUCCAGGGCACCGAAGGACGACUUGCAGCAAGCCUCUCGUCUCGAUGAUGCCCGGUGUCCCUCCUUCACAUUAG